AGAGAGGCUGUGAGGGUGGCUUUGUGAGGAUGGCUUUGUGUGGCUGCACAUUGCCCUUGGCCAAGCCCCGCUGCCAGGAGAGGCAGCUCGGCUGCCAAACCUCCUGAACCCAAGUUACCUGAGCAAGCAGCCCUAUCCCCUCGCCUGCUUCUCACUGCCUCGCCUGCCUUGGGCCUGCCCGACCCAGGGGGUCACAUGCCUUGUUCCCCAUCAGUGGAGACCAGGGACAAGAAGACAGUUCUGUGGGAAGAGCCAGGAGGACCAUUUGGGAAAAUACAGGUUCCAGGUGUGUCUCCAGACCUUGAGAGUUGGUGUCUCCUGGGAAGAGGCCCUGAUGAGAUCUGGGGAGAUUCGGAUCUGAUGAGAUUCAGGAAGCCCUGGCCUCUCCGUACUUGAGGAGACGGGACACACAGGACAAGCUGCAGGCUGGUGAGCAGAUUUUAUCUAAUCAGGAUUCCAGAGCACAAGACAAAUGGCCUCACGUCCGGCUGGGAGGUGUAAUUCAUUCUCCUGGGUUCACCUUCUAUUUUGAAGACCCGCUUCUUCCUCAGGUACCUGAUCUUGAAAACGACCUCCCCUUUCAGUUCUGGAGGCCAGAAGCCCAAAAUCAGUCUCGCUGGGCUAACGUGAAGGUGUCAGUCGGGCUGGUUCCUUCUGGAGGCUCCAGAAAAGAAUCUGUUUUCUUGCCUUUUCUGGCUCAGUUUCUCGGCUUGUGGCUCCUUCCUCCAUCUUCAAAGAGCACCACUCCAAUCUGCUCCUCCAUCAGGUCACCUUCUGCCUGACUCCUACAUCCCUUUCAGAAGGACCCUUGUGAUUCCAUGAGGUCCACCCAGAUCACGCAGGAUAAUGUCCCCGUCUCAAGAGGCUUAAUCUAAUCACAGUGAAAACCAUUUCCUCCUCGUCGUGGCGCAGGUCCAGAGGCUGCGCCCAUCUCUCCCACGUCAACAGUCCUGUGUCCUUGGCGAAGGACUGUUCUCUCAUUCAGUGCCUUUCCUCUCUUCCUGGGCCAAAUCCCUGCUUUGCGUCUCCCUGCAGCUCAUAAAAAGCUGAAUUACCUGAGGCAGGGAAAGCCCCACCCACUGUCAUUCUCAGGGAGGAGUGGAGUCUGCAGAGGCCGCAAUGCACAGCUUCCCUAUCCCCCUCCACCCGUGUUUUCCCAGAGCAGCUCUGUUCCAGGCCCGGGGGUGUCCCUGGGCCGAGAUGGAAUCCAGCCCUGACCACCUCCCAAAGCCAACAGCCCUGAGUGAGCGUGCAGAGAAGCAAGAGCUGUUCCUGAUGCAGAGCAAAGACAUCUCCCAGUCAAGGGGGAUGAACUGAUUUGGGACAAAAGGCAGUUGUUGGCUGAGGAAGGCAGGAUCUGGGGGAGCCCUGUGCUGAGUGGAGGUGGGUGGGUGUAUUUCCUUGGCUCACAGAGGCCUCUUGUCUGGUGGGAUCAGCUCCUCCAGCCAGUUGCCACCUGGUCCAGCUUUGGGAGAUGUGGAGAAUGACUUUCGCAGUGAUUUCCACUGGGCCAUGGCAUUGAAACAGCUGCAGGAGGGGACACAGCUGGUGCCACCCCUACUCCGUCCAUUAGAGCUGCUGUGAAGGAAUGCCACCCUCCCCAUGGGGAGUGAGGGGGCCCUACUUGCUGUGGUUGGUUCCAGGGACCAUGGGAAGAGGCAAACCCCUAUUUUCAAGGGCACAAGUUGGCUUUUAUUAAAAUAAAAUUUCAUCAUCAC
This 1718-nucleotide long non-coding RNA is filed under the name Homo sapiens (human). Its description in RNAcentral is "long intergenic non-protein coding RNA 1819". Lineage: Eukaryota; Metazoa; Chordata; Mammalia; Primates; Hominidae. The record is from RNAcentral.